Molecule: ribosomal RNA, 254 nt
Filed under: uncultured bacterium
Lineage: Bacteria
Description: partial 16S ribosomal RNA
Rfam family: Bacterial small subunit ribosomal RNA
Source: RNAcentral
GAUCAUGGCUCAGGAUGAACGCUAGCGGCAGGCUUAACACAUGCAAGUCGGGGGGCAGCAUAAUGGUAGCAAUACUAUUGAUGGCGACCGGCGGACGGGUGCUUAACGCGUAUUCAACCUACCCUUUACAGGGGGAUAACACUGAGAAAUCGGUACUAAUACCCCAUAAUAUUCUGGGAGGCAUCUUUCGGGGUUGAAAGCUUUGGUGGUAAAGGAUGGGCAUGCGUUGUAUUAGCUAGUUGGUAAGGUAACGG